Molecule: ribosomal RNA, 769 nt
Filed under: marine metagenome
Description: bacterial SSU rRNA
Rfam family: Bacterial small subunit ribosomal RNA
Source: RNAcentral
CGAAAGCAUGGGGAGCGAACAGGAUUAGAUACCCUGGUAGUCCAUGCCGUAAACGUUGGGAACUAGAUGUGGGGUCCAUUCCACGGAUUCCGUGUCGCAGCUAACGCAUUAAGUUCCCCGCCUGGGGAGUACGGCCGCAAGGCUAAAACUCAAAGGAAUUGACGGGGACCCGCACAAGCGGCGGAGCAUGCGGAUUAAUUCGAUGCAACGCGAAGAACCUUACCAAGGCUUGACAUAUACGAGAACGCUGCAGAAAUGUAGAACUCUUUGGACACUCGUAUACAGGUGGUGCAUGGUUGUCGUCAGCUCGUGUCGUGAGAUGUUGGGUUAAGUCCCGCAACGAGCGCAACCCUCGUUCUAUGUUGCCAGCACGUAAUGGUGGGAACUCAUAGGAGACUGCCGGGGUCAACUCGGAGGAAGGUGGGGAUGACGUCAAAUCAUCAUGCCCCUUAUGUCUUGGGCUUCACGCAUGCUACAAUGGCCGGUACAAAGGGCUGCAAUACCGCAAGGUGGAGCGAAUCCCAAAAAGCCGGUCUCAGUUCGGAUUGAGGUCUGCAACUCGACCUCAUGAAGUCGGAGUCGCUAGUAAUCGUGGAUCAGCAACGCCACGGUGAAUACGUUCCCGGGCCUUGUACACACCGCCCGUCAAGUCAUGAAAGUCGGUAACACCCGAAGCCGGUGGCCCAACCUUUUGGAGGGAGCCGUCGAAGGUGGGAUCGGUGAUUAGGACUAAGUCGUAACAAGGUAGCCGUACCGGAAGGUGCGGCUG